UGCAAGGCCCUUUUCAGGGCCACACAUCAAACUGACUCUGAUUUAA
Non-coding RNA from Operophtera brumata (winter moth), 46 nucleotides. NCBI's taxonomy places the organism in Eukaryota, Metazoa, Arthropoda, Insecta, Lepidoptera, Geometridae. The record is from Rfam.